CGGGCGUGCGCCGAAGUAGCCUCCUAUUGGCUGCCCGCUCGGGGCCUGGCGGGCACUCCGGCACGUGAUUGGCCGGCGCUGCCCCUGCGGGCCGAGCUCAUUGGCGGGCGCGGGGCCGGGGGCGGGGCGGGCCCCAGGAUUCCCGAGCGCGCGGCGGGGCCGGAGCGGGCGCCCGGCCGGAGCCGACCUGACGGCGGGCGCGGAGGGAGGGUGGGCGGCGGUCCCGGCCCGGCUGGGCGAGGCGGCGCUGGCGGCGCAGCCGAGUGUCGGGCGGCACGGCCCGCGGCGGCGCUUCGGCCGCGUCCGUCAGCGCCCCCUCCCUCCGCGCGCGGCGGCCCCGGCCGGCCCGUCAGCUGUCAGCGGCCGAGCGGCGGGACAAAGACCCGCCGCGGCCGGGACGGCGCCGGCCUCCGCCCGCCGGCCGCGGACAAUGCGGCUCCCGGGCGCCCGCCCGCGCGCGGGCCCAGAAGUUGGCGGCGUCUCCUCGGCGGCGGCCCGCGCUGUGGCGGCGGGAGGCCGGCGCGGGCGCGGCGAGGGGCGGCCGCAGGUGAGCGCCCGGGCGCAGCCCUGGAGAAUUGCUGUUGAAGAGGGACAAGAGAGGAGGACAACGCAGGAGGAGAUAAGUAGCUCUGGCUGGACACAAGGGCAGGUCACAGCACUCGAUAGUCGUUGUGGAACAGGGAAAGGGCCGGGAGGAGGCUGCAGCCUGCAGGGCCGGCUGAUAGCGCGAGCUCCUCCUGGAUCUCCCUGGCUCAGGAGCUGUCUCCCCUCCCCUCCUCCCUUUUUGUACCGCCUUAUUGAGUUGUUGACACCCAACUGAUCGUUCUCAACAGUGUUGAGAAACACUGAUUUUGUGGUCUGCCUUAAAGUUUUAGUCCUUGUUUUACAUUUUAAUAUUGGUGCAUCUCAACCUUGCAGGGGCCUAGAGGUGGCAGCUGUCUCUCCUCAUGGGAUCUAGCUGUUGGAAUUAUUGAGAGAAAGGAUUUCUGUUUUUGACCCCAUAGGAAUAGAUCCAGAAUUCAACCCCAAAUUUGCCUUCUCAGAGAAGUAUAUGCCGUCUAGACUUGGGGACAUGAUCAGAGGCCCCUGCCCCUGACUUUUAAAAUUACCUUUACUUUCUAGAGCUCUUAUACUUUCCAAAGUGCUUUUUCUCACAUCAGCUCACUUGUUCUUACAACAGCCCUGUAAAGUAUUAUUAAUAUUACUAGGCAGACAGCUCUGAGGCACCUGAAGUAUUUCUCUCUCCCCACCUCCAUUCUCUCUUGCAAAACUAUUGCUAGGCUAGUCUUUGCUAUCUUUACAUCAGUUUUCUAAAAUCAAAAUCCUUCGAUCGCUCUCUGUUUGUCCUCCUAUCAGAUUGAACCCCCUCUGCCUAGGUUAUACUGUGGCCUUAAAACCAGGGUCUAAUCCUACUCUAAACCCUUUCUCACCACAGUUCCUGGAAUAAGGCUGACUGUGCCUCAGCCCGCGUGCUUCCCUCAGUAGCGAUGCCUCCUCUCAGACCACCCGUCUGCCUAUUCUUUAGCAUCUGACUCCCCCUUGGAGCCUGCCCAGAUCAUUAACACCUUAAAGAUCCCAUCUUCCUCUGAAUUCCCAUGGUUGCCAUGGCUAUUUGGUCAAUUAUAAUGUGGUUUUAAAGGCCUAAUAGAGAAAAUGUAUAGGAUAGACUUGAUAUAGGGAAGAAAGCACUGAACUAAGUGGGUUGUAAAGACGAUGUCUACUGAGCAGCUGUGGGCUCCAAGUAAGGUUGCUCUGCAUUUGUGGUUCUAUGUUUCCUGAACUGUGAACGUGGAGAGGUUUGGGCCAGGUGAUGCUGAUGGUCCCUUCUCCUUCUGAGGUUCUGUGACAACUUGGUCUUCCUUAUGUGGGAUGGGGUUCGGGCUCUUAUGGAGUUCUUGAAUGAAAGUGUCAGGAAUGAGCACUCAGUGCCUUCAGGACUGGUUCUAUUCCAAAGAUUGCUAAUGCUAAACUUGACAAUCUUUGAAUGCCAUGUGCCUUUUUUGGUAGGCAUUUUAGCCACAAGCAUUCAGGGAAGGUAGCGGGAUGAUGAAUUAGGAACAACAAAGGGUUAUCCUUGUGAAUGACUUCGUAUGAUGGAAUAGAUAAGGUCAACUAUUGGAUAAAUCUAAGUCUUAGCAUUUAUAAUUUACUUUGCAUUUCAUCUUCACUGGAUGGUGCUAUAUAAUAAAUGCAGUUAUGUUUUCCUUUUGCUCAUUUCAUGACUUGGAAACAUUAAAAUAGUCAAAACUCUAGGAUAGAUGCUGAUGACUUUCUGUAAUGAUCUGGUUGGUCACAUGUUGUAAGGAUGCAUAUGCAUGUACAUGUAUUACAUGCACAUUUUGCUUGAAUUAAGAAGGGUACUCCUAAGUUAUGAGGUGCUAUUGUACAUUGACCAGACUUAAGGAUCUCUCUUUAAAGUGUGUUGACAUUUAAUUGACCUUUGAAGGUUCACUCUGUUAAUCAUACUCAGAAUGCUGAAGCUGUGGUUGGCUGCUCUGGUGUUUUACAUCCAGGCAUGCUCAGCAUAUAAAUUCUUCGGCAUAAUUGCUGCUUAUUUAGCAAGAGUUUCCUUUCUUCUCUGAAAAUGUGAGUUGUGUUUUAUUUUUGUAUCUUUUUCUUUUUUAAACUUUGCUUCAGGCUGGAUAGUUUUAGAGGUUUGAAUUGAAAUCCUUUCCUGUCAUUAGUUGUAUGGGGUGUGGUCUCUUAAUAUAGGACUAAUGGAAAUUUCUUGCUUAGUUGAAGUGUACUCUUCUUCUGGCAGAAGUUAGAACUCUUUGAGGUAUAAUGCUAAAAUUUAGAGAAGCUUAACACUUCAACACUACAUAUUUUUAACCUGAUAAACUUUUGAAAAUCUUUCAGUUCCAUUUUUGUAGAUUAAAACUAUCAGUGCUAAUACUUUUUAUUAAGCCAGGAUUCAAAGGAUCUAUUUCCAUAGCAUACUUUAAUUAUAUUCCUUGAAUUGCCAUGAGUGGAAUUUUAUUUUAUUAUAAACGAUGUAUUUAUUUUUAAAAAGUCAAAUAUAUUUCUUUUUUAAAGCUUAACAUUUUAUUACCAUCACCUAGAGAACAUCUGCUGAAAUGUUUGAAAAUUUCUGGGUAUUAAGUUUACAAAAUCAGCCUGGAAAUAAUUUUUAAUAUAGUUAGCUUUCUUACAGGUUUCUAAAAUAUUUCUAAUGAUCACUGAAAAGUAGCUACACUUUUUGCUAAAUGUUGAUAGAAAAAUAAAAACAUGUGAUUACCAAAUUUUGAUAAUUUAUCUUUGAGACUCCAGACACUUUUUAAAAAUAUUUUUAUCUUAAAAACAAUUUUUAAAUAGGGAAGAUAAAAUUUAAACCAGAGUUUUUUUUCAUGAGGUGAUUUUAUACUGUUAAAAUACCUAGCUCCAUAUUCGAGAUGCAUUUUGUUCCCUGUUCAAAAGUCUCAUGCCGUGAUAUCAUUAGUGUGUUUACACACUGCAAGCUUGGUAGAUGGGCUCGUGCAUGAAGCUGACCUUAUUUCUCAUCACCACCUCUCCUUCCAUGUUGCCCUAUCUUUUUUCCUGUCUUUCUGUUCCCAGUUUUACAACUUAUAGUUGUCCUUUUCAUUUCAUUAUAACCCCACCACUAAAGGAAAAUAAGUCUUUUCCCUUAGUCCAAACAUUUAACUACAAACUCCAUCCUGUUUUAGAAUACACAAUGAAGCCUCUUAAAUACUAUUAUCUAAAUAAUAUGUAAAGAAUGCAAAUGACGGCAAUGCUGAACAGUCAGAUACAGGAUAUCCCAGACUAAGGAUGAUGAACUCUCACACUUCUAUUUUGUGAAUUGUGACUUGAGCAGAUAGAUUUCUUUCUUUCUGUAUAACUAAGUGUCUCAGGACCAGGCCAGAAUUGGUUAAGUACAGAAUGUUAAGAUAAAGCCUGGUUUCUCCGGUAAUCUGUCUUGGUAAUUAUACUGAACUGAUGACACAUAUUGACAAAAUCAAUAUAUUUGCUCUUCUUUUCUGUUCGAAGUCUGUUUUGCCAUCAUAAAAAGCUUUCUGCCAUUUGAAUCUGGAUAUGUGUAUUCACAGAUAAUUUAUUUUAUUUAACAAAUUCUUAUAUCAUACUUUCAUGUUCUAACCUUAUUCUAAACACUUUACAGGUAUUAGUUUAUUUAAUCCUCUAGCUCUAUAAUUAUAGUUAUUAUAUAGUUAUUAUCAUUUUUCAAUUAAGAAAACCAAGGCACAGAGAUUUAUUUUAGAGUAGGCCCUUAAGUGAUGAGAGACUGCUAAGUGUGGGCCGAAUGGAUAGCUUAACAGUCAUGCUAAGAAUCAACAAAAAGAUGUGCAGGAGUUUUGGGAAGAUGAGUCUUCAUAGAAAGAGUCAGGGACUCAGCCGGGCCCAAUCUUAGAGAGCAACACAUCUUCCCUCCUUGGUUUUAAGCCUUGGGCUAUAUAGAGGCCAAACUUAGAAAGGAGGCACUCAGUCCUAAGACGUGGUCAUUGCUGUGGGCUUCAGCAGCCUCUGGGCCUGAUGAGGGGCUGUGCUGGCUCACUGUGCCUCGCGUAUGGCUGCACACAUUGCAAAUACCGGUGCAGGUGGAGAAUCUCCUCUCCCAGCCUCAACGCCAGCCAGCCCACCACAUUCUCCUUCUUGCCCUGCUUUCUUUGUGUAUUCCUUUGCAAAUAUUGUUCAGUAGUGUUUACGUAUGUGUAUUGUAUGAGGUUUAGAGAACCAUGUUAAGCAAUGAAGUUAAAGGACAAAGCUAUGUUUUCUCUUGGAAUUGGGGAUGGAAGAAAAUGAGAGAACAGGUAAAAGUAGGAAAUACGGAGAAAGGAGGAGACAUCAUGGAAAAGAAGAGAGAUACUGAGGGAAAAAAUGGUGAAAAAACAAGGAAGAAAGAAAAUUACUGAUUUGCUUUACACCCACAGCCCCUCCCCAGCUUCCUUUUCUUUGCCUGACCUGAGGUUCCUGGGGUGUUCUGCACUGUGGGAGUGGAAAAUUUCUCCCUUUCGCAUUUGAGACUUGGGUGUGCUGCCUUGAGAUGCCACGGGUAUCUGAGUAAUAUUUGUUUAUACUGGGUAUUUUUCUCUGUAGUCUUUGUGGAUGGGUCUCAGAAUACAAACAACACUGUUAGCAGAGCUGCAGGUACUCGAUUGCUAUGUUUAUUUUAUUAGUUAAAAAACUGCCAGAGCCCUAGGACUCCUGAGCACAUUUUAAAAAUACCAGAGGCAUUUUUAAGAAGCGCUUUAGAAAGAAAGAAAAAAUAAGAAGAAAAGUUAGGACUUUCAGACUCUGGAAUGCUGACCAACGUGGUAGGGUUUUUUUUAUUGUUUUCAAAGACUCUAUAUUAGGGUCUUUUCAUCAACUAUUUUUUAAAAGUGGGUUUUUAAGUAUGAUACUUUUGUUCCACAGGAUGUAAAACUAAAGUUAAUUCUUUAGGGAAUUUAGGAUUUUUUUGAAUCCACUUAAAUCAUCUCUAAUGACUUUUCUUGGUCAGAUCACAGGUCUGAAAGUAUUUCCUACUGAUUUGUGAUUGUAUUGGGACAGAAUCAUUGAAAUUGUGACACUUCCAGAAAAUCCAAAAUAUAUGGCCAGUUUUACCCUUAAACUUUCUGAUAAUUCAUUUUUGGGCCCCUGAAGUCUCUCUCUUUAUCUUGCUCUCUGUAGAAAGGUACACUAUUCAGUAGCAUUUGUGAAAAACACCCAGUUUAAAUAACAAAAUGUUGAGCUAAUCUAAAUGAUAAAAGUAUUGAUUUGAAGAAAUUAAUUUAUUUUUAAAUAUUCAUUCAUUUCUCAGGUGGAGAAAUGGCCUGGUCUUAACAGGCUUGAUUAGAUUCCCGUCAGUAAAACAAAGUAAACUAAAGAUUUUUUUCCUUGAUCAUUGCAUGACAAUAACAUACUGUUCAAACGUUUCAAGAAUCUCUAAUUAAUUUAGCCUUAGGGAAUAGCAAGGGGGAAAGGGACUUUUCUUUCUCAUUUGUCCUUUUUUUCAUUUAUCCAUUCCUUCCCCUACUUGUCUAUCCUGUCUUAUAAUCAUGGAAAUUUUUAUUUUCUCCCACUGUUCCUUAAAUGUUCCCCAUUUGUACAUCCUAGAUUACCACCACACCAAGUUUUCUUAGAAUUAGGCAGAAAUGGAAGCUGGACCUUUAGAAGCUUAGGGAAAUCAUCCCAUGUUUUCUCAGACUCUCCUCGCUCCCAAGAGGAGAGGAGAAAAACAGUAGUUGGUUUGUGACUGUUGCUUCUGUGGCUGCCCUAUUUGGUUGACCUCAGCUUUUUUACCUCCUUUCUUAAUGCUUAAAUCUACAAAUGAAAUUAGGGCCAGUCACACUGGUAUUUCCAUCAUCAGCUAUCCCUAGUGGUUCAAAUUUAGUGCAAACCUGCUAUGAGUACAUAUUAAUUAGGUGAAUAAAAUAGGAUGAAAUUACAACAUGAGUUUUUUAAUAACUAUUCUUUGAAUUAAGUGUGGUUUUAUCUUAUGAGUUUACAGUUGUUUUGUUGAAAAUCUAAAAAUAUCCUUAUAUGAGCAACUAAGUUGCUAACAGCCCAUGGUGUGAGUCAAACAUUAACUACAGUAAAACUCUGCUGGAAGUUCUUUACCUUUGAGAUGCAGGGAGCUAUUUCAAGUGAAGUUGCUCAUUCUCUGUGUGGAAUGGUGUGGGGGUCUUGCAACCUGAUUUACAGGUCAAAGUCUGAAUAAGAAUUUCCUUGUCCCUGUUUUCUGUACACUGUGUCACCGAACACCAGGUAUAAAGUACAUGAGCUUCUUUUAUUUUGCUACUUAUAGUCCAAUUCCAGGCCAGACAAUGUCGGAGACAACUAUUCUUCUGUAGAAAGUUUCAGGAGUCAGCUACUAACUACUGUGUCUGUAAAUGUGCUCUCAAACUAUUUUGUAGUCCUGCUAUUUUUAAAAAUGUGUGGGUAUGGGAAGUGAUGGUGAAUUAACUCAGGGUAAUUGGUGCUUCUCUGUAUUAAGAAAAGUCACACUAGUUGAGGAAGCCUGCUUUCAUGAGUUGUGUAUGUUUAAUUUUUUAAAAAUUCAUCCCACCUUUUCCCACUCCAGUUCCCACCCCUACCUCAUAAAUUCAAGCAAUGAAGGAAUUAGAGUCAUAGGAUUUUAUAGCUGGAAGGAUUUUUAGAGAGAAUCUGGUUAACUCUCUUAACUACAGUUGAGGAAAUUGAUGUCCAGUGAGGUCAAAUAAGAUCAUGUAGCUAGUGUAAAAACCUACAUGACAUUAGCAGUUUAUUUCCAUUGGUAAACACUGUUCUGAAUAAUCUGCCCUAACAGGUGCAUAAUCAGAAGGUAAUAUAAGGGGGAAUCACUAACAUCUGUAUGGUUUUCUCAUCCAUAUCUCAGUGGUUUCUCAGAAGAGCUCUGUGAAGUGUAGCUAUCGAGUUUCCAUUCAAGGAGAAAACAGGCUCCUGGACAGUCGGAGACCUGUCCAUGGCAGUCAUCCACCAAAAGGGCCAGUGCUCCCUGUCUUUGCAUCUUGACAGAACUGUCAGCUGGUCUCAAGAAGUUCUCAUGGACAACAGCAUGGGGAAUCACGUCUUCAUAUUAUAGCUUUAGCUCUAAAAUUGGACCAGUUAUUAACUUCUGGUCCAAUCUAUUUCAUCACUUAUAAAGGAGAAAAAAAAAACACGUUUGAAAGAGCUAUGAGCUCAUAAAUUUUUGAAAAGAAAGAUGCUGGAUAAUUGUAAAUAAAACAUAUUUUAAGAAUCUCCUUAUGAAUACAUUGAAACUGCAGGCAGCACAUAUUGAGCACCUCCCAUGUGUAAAGCAUAUUGUGCACUGCGCCAGUAGACCCAGAGAGAUGAGACAGGAUCAUGGCCUUCAGAGAAGAGGCAAACGCAGCCUGCUCUCCCUUCAAAGACUCAUCUAGAUAGAGAACUGUCCUUGAGAAAAGUCUGGUGCCGUCUGCCUUACUCUAGAGACAGGAGAGGUGUUAAUACUUAGGUCUGAAAUGGGUCAGUUUUUUUCCUAAAUAUUUGUAUUAAAGUAUUCACAUUAAACAAAACUUGUAAAAUACAGAAAAAAAGAAAAAUUACAUAUGUAUAUUCUGAAUUUUUUAAAUAAUGGUAUUUAUAUCUUACACAGAGAUUUUUCUUGGCUUUUCUUUAACUUGAUGGGAUAUCUAAAUGUUCUGUAUCAGUGCAUAACUUUGCAAAUAUAUUUUAAUGAUUACAGAAUUUCAGAAGGGAUCAAUUACUAUGUAUGUCAAUAAUCUGGCUAUUUUUCUAUGGCAAUUACUGAUGUUAUUUUACACAAAAUGAUGAAUAAAAGAUUCUAAACUAAGCUUGGCUACUACUAAGAAAUACUUCCUAAAAGUAUUUUUUUUAAAUAAUGAACUAAGUAGAUUACGUUCAAAUCUUUCUUUAAGAGCAUCAAAAUCACUUAAUUUCUUAAACUAUCCAUAGAAAUUUCAAUUUAUGUACAGUUGACCUAAAUUAGAAAUGGAUUUUUUUAAUUGUGAAAUUUAGAAACAAAAACAUUUUUUAAUGCAGUUUCCAUUAUAGUAUUGUGUUCCUCUGAAAUAAUGUCUCAUUACUCUAAAGGUAUAAAUACUAAUCAUGUUGAAUUUUUACUGUAUGGAGCAAUAUAAUCUAAUAGUUUUCAUUUAAAAAACAAGGACUGUAUAAAUUCUGAAUUCUGACAUUAUUCUAAUGAAAUUCAUCUUAAAUUCACCUAAUGUCCCUUUAGAAAUACGAUCUUCUAUUUCAACAGCACUGCGAGGGCAUCCCUGGGUGAGAGCCGCUCCUUGUGAGGAGCCCAGUGGAGCAAGAACCCCUGAAUGGGAGAGCUGAGCCGGCAGGUGGUGGAGGGGUGCAGCCUGGGAAGUGCUGACAAAGAUGUGCCUGGAGGAAGAGAGGGAUGAGGAGUGGGAGGAAAGUCCCUCCUUAGCCUGAUGGCUGGCAUGCCCUGACGCUCUGGAAUCCCCCUCCCUAGAGAGAAUGCCAGCCAAGGUGGGAGAGGAGGGGCUCCCACAGAGGGGGGCGUAGGGUAAUGACUACCAAAAGCUCUCUGAGGAGCUUGGAUAGCUGCUGUCUGGGGAACGCUGGCCUAGGUUGUAAUCAGUAUUAUUUUAAAGCAGAGUUUGGCAAAUGAAUAAAAAUAUGAUGAAUGAAUGAGCGACUGAAUGAAUUGUUUUCUCACCAAAGGAUCUGGAUAUUUGUUUCCACUCUUAAACGUUUUUUCAAUUAUUAAUUUUUUGUGCCCAAUUUACAAUGAAAACACCAUUUUUAUUGAAUUAUCAUUAACUAUUUCAUAUUUAUUCAAACCCACACCUUCCCCAACUCCACAGAUGAUUCAGAAGAGCUUAUAAUAAGCAAAACAUCAGACUAGGAAAGAGAGUGAGAGAAGUGAUUCCACCUCUCCAAGCCCCGUGUCCUCACCUGUGUGCUGAUGGUAAUGUACAUGACUGAUCAUACGUGGAAGGGACACCAUGAGAUCGUGCAUAAAAUGACAUUGCUGGACAUACAACACAAACGAUGUAGUAAAGUUAAGGCUAUAAACUUGAGGACACGGUUUAUCUAGCUUCUCAACUUAUUUCUCAUUACCAUUUUAUUAGAGAAUGUUAAUUGAAUUAAAAAUAUAUUAAUUUCUAGAGUAGAAGAGUUUUUAUUCUUUAUAAUUCUGUAAACUCUAUACUAUCCAAGAUAAUGCUUUGUUCCUAGAAUUUGCAUUUCUUAAUCUCCCAUGUGUCCACAAUCCAUGUGAAAAUGUUCUUUCAGCCUUCAGCCAUUUUUGAGAAGCAAGGACCAGGUAGGUCUAUAUUUCUAAUAAUUACCAAAAAAAAAAAAAUCAAGGGAAAGUUCAUCAUCAUUGCCAUUAGCAAGAAACAUAAUGAGAAUUAGAAGCCUUUGAAUUAGGCUAAAAGCAGUGUGGACUAGUAAGUGUAAAGUAUAAAUAGAAGAAGACGAAGAUUAAUUUUAAAGGGCAGAAUUUUGUACAUUUAUUUUACUUAGAUUUCAGAUCAGUUCUGUGUGUGCUUUCCACAUAAGGAAGCAGAGACCACUGUGUUUCUUGUCUUUGGGUGGGUUUUCUGAAGACAUGAUGAGGGCCAGAUGUCAGCACUGUUGACACAGUUGGCUGGAACCUUGGCCCCCAGAGAGAUGGUGGGUGGAAGGAUGCAGAGCAGAGCCUGCACACUGGGUCCUCUGCUGACAUGAAACACUCCCAUUCCUACAGUCCUACUGCAAGCAUCCAGAGGUCAGCGCAGGUGGCAAUGAGAUGGAUACGGAGAAGUGGGGAGCCAGGGGAAGAAGCAUCCUCGUUCUUUCCUGGGAUAGAGUCAUCUACAUGCACCUUUGCAUUUUCAUGGCCAAAGGAUUGUCCUAGUGUACAUAAAUAAAGUAAUGAUAACUUCCCCAACCUGCUGAUAAGUGCCUAAAAUCUCACCAUUCAAGUAUGGGCCAUUUAAUGUAAAUACUCUGCUAUCUUAAAAUCCGGAGAACUGGGUAUGUGAAUGGAAGGAGAUGGGGGAACUUGAGUGGCUGUAAUAUUUUAAGCUGUUCUUAGUUAUGCAUAGCUUAGGAAAAUGCAUGAUUAUAGAGUCAAUAAGAGGGUUCAAGACUGAGUGGUUUAGGGUAGUUAAGAAAAACUUGAAAACUUUAUCUGGGGCCAGUCUUAAACUGUCCACCACCAGAAUGAAUUAAUCCUUCCAACAGUUAAAACUAAUGUGGGGACGAUUAUAAAACCUGACCAGGGUAUAGACAUGAGAGCUGCACUUUUGGGUGGGGAGACUUAUAGGGACCUUGUGUGACAGGGCUAAGGCAGCCAAGAGUCCUGUGGUUUUGAACUAAGUAAGUAGUUUUCUGUGAGCAUUUCCAGGAUUAGAUCUGACAAAUCAGGGUCUCAUGUAUUGGACAUAAUUGAAUCUUGUUCUACUAUAUUCAUUUUUAAUUCAUGAUUUUUUAAUGGAUUCACUGGUCACGUUUCUCAGGUAGUGGCAAGACUUUUUAGUCUUAAGUAAAUUUAUUUAGUUCUGUCUUUCUGGAUUAGUGGGUCUCUGCCAGGAAGAUACAGCAGGAUCAUUUGAUAGCUUGUGCAGAAUACACACUGAGCACCCUCCCUACCUGAGUGAGCACCGCAGAGGGGAUGGGGCAAGAGGCCAUCCCGGCAUGUGGGUUAGAAGAGCCGUCCUGGUGAUUCUGUUGCCGCCCUCUCAUUUUGGGAAUUGCUGUUCCAAAUGGAACCAAUCCUGCUCAGUUACCAGAAAAUAAGCAAAUAGCUUAAACUACAUAACAGUGAGUCUUGCUUAAACCGACAAAAUUGCUCAGCCCUUGUUGGGAUAGGUCUGCUUUUCCUUUCACACAGAUUUCAUUUAGCUGAUGUCUUGCUAAAAAGCAGCCCAUAUGUACUGGCAGUGAAGCACUGUCGUUAUUAAAUGCCCUUCCACGUAUGAACCCUUGCAAUCAGAUCUUACCAUCUUCCAUGCUUUGUGCAGAAUCUUUUAUGUUUAUUCGUAGAGCUCUGAGCAAAGGGCUGCAUCUUCCAAGUUGUGCUAAGGUUUACUGCCUCUUUCACGUGUUCACUGAAUUGUUAUUUGAGGUUGUACACUUAGUGUGUACUAGUGACUGCUUUUCAUUCUUAAAGUUAUUAUAUAAAAGUGUAAGUUUCUGAGGCUUACACUUGGACAGGAGAUCUGUCACUGUGAGAAAAACUUAUAGGAGUAAAACUAUUUUCUUUUUGUGAACAGUUACUGCUACACAAUGUCUUCACAGGGUGUAGGGCUUGGUAUUUAUCUGUUUUAAUUAAACAGUGCCCUGCCUGUCUACCGGUGACUAACUUGAAAGCAGUGGGUGUCUCGGAGCAGCUCACAGGGCUGGCAGCUGUGCUGAGCCUGGUGAACUGACUCGCGCUGCAGGCACGGUGGCACAUGGACGCCAAGCGCUAAGAAUUUCUGGAAUGCAGAAUUGCAGGGCACUGAUAGAGUCUGCUUUGUUCCCCUCUGUGACUUGACCCAUUGAGAAAAUGUGGUUCCCUAGGAAGUUUUAAUAGUUCAAAGUCCUUAGUUAAUAACGAAAAAGGCCACAACAUAAUUCAGCUUGUUUUCACCUGCUGCCUCCAAGAUUAACUUUCCUAACCUUAAUGGGAAAGAGUUACCCUUGGCUUUGAGAGAGUAAUUUAUGGAGCUCUUCACGUUAGUUUGGGUAAACAUGACACUGUUUGUGUGCAUUUUGGUCUUGUUUCGGGUUUGGUGUCACUAACUCCUAAGACUUCUGCCACUUCAGAGCCUAUGGUCACUUCAUCUAAAAGCAAACCCCGGGAGAGGCGGCCCGCUUCUCGGCCCUCGCUUGGUCCUCCCUCCCUGGGAAGGGCGGCGGAGCUUCGCCUCGGGUCUCCCUCCUCCGUCUUCCUACGAGGACGGGAGCGGAGCGCCCCGCGCGGAUCUGCGGCGAGCGCGCCCCCGUCCAGCCGUAGGCGCUGCGCUUUGCAGGGCAAGUUCCGAUCCGCGAGGCGCUCGUGCCGGGCGGGCCGCGUGCUCGCUCUCGGCCUCUCCGAUGGGCGACGAGGGGCCGCCCGGGAGCGGGGUUCGGGGCGCAGGCGGUGGAGGACAGCAGCACGCAAGCCCUCUCUCGGCGGAACCCGGAGCGCGGGAAGCGGACCAUCGCCUUUUCGCCGUCUGAGUCCGCCGGCACGCGGCGUUGCGGUCAGGGCGCCCACUGCGUCGGGCCAGCGCGCCCCGCGCGGCCUCCCCGAGGACGCAGGCACCUGCGGGCCCGGCCCGGUCCCCGCGGGAGCCGCCUCGGCCGACACGUCUCCAGGCGACCUCCGCGGCUCACCCGGCCUUGGAGCGCAGAGGAGCCCGCGCCCCGGCAGCGGGCGCCUGUAAACACCCGACUGGAAGCCGUGGGCGGCGGGCUUUCAGUCGGGUGUCUGCAGCCGCCGCCUGCCCCGCCCCGCGCCGCGCUCGGCUGGCCGUCUCUGCGGCGCACUGCGCAAGCUGGGGAGGCGUCCGCGGAUGGCUCCGGACCAGCCCCGCGCCUCCGCGGGAGCCUGAUCUGCGCGCGCAGGAAGCAGUGUGAAGAGGCAGAGAAAGGAGGUUGUUCCUGCAACGGCACGUGCGCGGCCGCUCUGAAACUCCAGAUGUGCUGAGGGGUUGAACAGCUGAGUGAACAGAAUGUGCUGGUGUUGUUGGAGUUGGAAGCCAGAGUUUUCACUGUGGAAGGACACACAAAUAUGAAAUGAUGGAAGGUAUCCACCUAGAAUUAUUAUUGCCAGUCGCACUCGGCUGGUGACCACAGCUUAUGUCAGCAGCCAUGACGCCGUGUCCCAGCUGCGGGACAGCCCACCUGAGGGACAGCAGAGGAGGCAGAAGAGACCCUCACUCCCAGAGCUGCCGCUGCCGGAAACAGGCCUUCCCGUGCCUGGGCGUGGUCUGGGCUCCAUCCACAGGAGCAGUCUUCUGGGAAGCAGGGCCAGCCCAGUCACCAACCGGACAGGCCAGGCUGGUGAGGGCGGAAAACGUCAUCUGAAAGCCGUCCUUCCCAGGGCUUCAGAAAAGGCGAGACUGCCCACCGACGGCCCAAGAAAGACCUGUGUGUCCUGCAGCCUCGAGCUCUGCUUUGCAGGCCUGAGCUCACCACUGUCUGGCAGGCGUCUCUUGCUUCUGAGGCGCCCCUAAAGCACUUUCGCUCUCUGUAGGCGCUUUGACGGCAGCUUCUGCGGGUGGAUUCUGGCCCACAGGAGAGGCUCAGAUGACCGAGUUAGAAUUUGAGGCUCAUCCAGUGUUAAUCUUAGUUGUGUGCACAGUAUCACCCCCAGUUUUAAUGUUUGCUCAAUACUCUUUUCUCUGGAUGAAAAGAGAAGGGAGACUCACACAUCCUGGAGGAAACAUAGGUUUUCUUCUUUUGUCUAUCCCUGAACGGCCAAGGACAGUGCUUUCAAGUGGCUUAUGGAAAGGAUUGAGAGUCGAGGGUAAAGAAGACAGAGAGAAGCUGCUUCCGUUGUCAGCCUCUGAAGUCCAUGAACAGUGAAAGUUCAGCUGAGGUCUACAAAAAUAUUAGCAAUGCCAAAAGGCCGGCAGCCAGGAUGUGUCUUUGUGCAGGAACUGAAUGGCUACCCCAGCUGGAAAAGUUUAAAAACCCUGGCAGGGGUGGAACAGUCCUAUAAAAAAGACAGUGAGAAAGAAGUGUUUCUGAAAUAAUUAGAUUUAUGAACCUGUAAAAGAACGUUCUCCACAGACUCUAAGCCUGUAAGCAUGGGCGUGACGGAAAUGCAAGGAUUUGGAGAUAUUUAUCUAAUUUUUAAAGAUGCUAUUAGUAACAGUGGUUGAAAUGAAUCUGAUGAAACAUGAAAUUUUUUAGUACAAGGAAGUAAUAUGCAUAAUUAUUAGUCAAAAUUUGUUUGCAACAGGCAACUACUUAAAAUUCUAAGAUGAUUCCAAGUUAUUCAAAAUGUUAAUCACAUGACAUCUUAUCAAGAUGGAGAUUUUAACUCAGUAGUAACUUUAAUUAAUUACAUUAAUAAAAUCAUGGUUGGCCUUUCUUAAUUAUUUUAUGCUUCUGAAUAUUUAAAUUAUAAAUAUAUCUGAUUCAUCUUUUUAAAAAAGAUAUUAGUCAACACAGUAAAAAAUUUAGGCUGUAUAAAAUGAAUUGAAACCAAUGCCAAAAGUUGAAGGUGCUCUUUAUAAAGUGAAAUGUGCAUUUUUAAGACAAAAUAUAAGUGACAAAAAUACGAUUAAUGCAAAUAUUUGGGAUUUUAUUUACUAAUCAAAUUAUAAAACACGUAAAUGUUUCAAAAAUGCUUGGUCAAUAAUAAUUUCCUUUUUUACAAGUAGAAUCCGUAGUUUUAGUUUAGCUUUAUCAGAAAUAAAUUUAUUGCUUUUAUUUCUGUAAGGACAACUUUUCUGUUCAAUCAAGUAUCUUAAUAGAUAUUUGGCUGUAAUGACAGAAAAGAAACGGUAGAGGGCACUUUAGUUCUCUAACAAAAUAAAACCAUUCCUAAAACCGUCUAUAAAUCAGGAAAGCAGACAACGGGGAGACCUGAGCUAUCUGGUCAAGGUUAGACAAUAAUGUGACACGAGUUUCCCUGCUCCCCACAGCCUAACGGGGACGUCUCAGGCAAACAGAGUCAUUCCGUAAAUCAACCGGCAACGUGAAAAACAAGUGUUCUCAGACCUGCAGAUCUGUGGACCCAUCAUUUCAAGAGUAUUUCAUUUAAAAAGUACCACAUCUAUUUGGAAAUUGCCUGAUCUACUGAUCGGUAAACUCUCACUGUCUAGAAGUUUUAAGAGGGAGAGUGAGUGCUUUAAACAGGUCGACGAUGCACUGGGGCGUACCUCUCUUGUCUUGGUCCGAUUCCCACUAGGAGCCUAUGACCUCAGACUUGUUACUUAAUCACAAUUUCCUCCCGAAUCGUCUUUGUAAUCAUCGUCGUCAUCACCUCAAGGAAGACGCCUGCUUUCAAGCAGCUUCCACUCUGUUCUAGCUGAAAUAAGGUCAGUAUAAGAAACAGCUCCCAGGAGGGAAAGACAACGCACAGUUAAAUGUAAAUUGUGUUGUUCAGCGUGUACACAAUUCCUGGGCUGCUCGUUCUGAUUGCCUGGCCUCGGUUUUACAUUUUAUACUGAGGUUCUGUACUGGAUGAUGUGGCUGGAUGAAGCUCUGUCAUCCAUUCCUGUUUUGUAUGUUGUUCUAUCAAAUUUGGUGAUCUAGUACCCAAGCUCUCAACAGGUUUACCGCGGUUCUUAACAUCUUGGAGUGUAAAGACCCACUUGAAAUCUGAAGAAGACGUGGAGCUCCUCUCCCCAAAACGCUCUACAAGACAGCUCACUCGAAAUGAGCAAGGUUAACCCCAGGAGGUUCAGGACCCUGAGCUCUGCCACAGGCCCCCUGGUGACCCACAGACACGACGCCAGGAGUCUCCGACAGAGGCGCACGCCACACGGCUCCCACGGGUUCCAGAGUCAUUUCCGGAAAGUUCACGUGUUGCGGUGGGGUUAAGAUGGCGAUGAGGCUGGAGAGGGAGGUGUGCCAUGCCAAGCAAUUUUGGAGUUUUUUCCAUAAGCAACAGGAAGUGUACUGAAGUGUUUAAGCACAGAAGUGAACGAUCUGCAUUUCAAACAGCAAAACCAGAGAGUAGAAUGCAAAAUAAACAGGAGAGGAAAGACAGGAAGCAGAGAGAUCCUCACUCAGUCUGCCAGCACCAUAAUCUGGGCGAGGCACAGGGAGAGCCUGUUUAAAAUCUUUCCAAAACUCCGGAUGCUCCCUUUUCUAAGACAGGCCUACGCUGAUUCCGUGUAAUAAGUAAUGGGACAGAAGUUUCCAAACACCAAGGGACAUUUGGAACUAGACAAAGGAUGUUCUGCAGUUCCCUCGUCUUGUCCUCAGGGCGGCAGAGGGCACUAGCAUGCCUGCCUGGUGGACAGCUUCAGACGCCUGGGCAGCCUGGGAGCCUCCAGGAGGCCAGGCGUGGGCCUCCCGAACACGCAAACCUGGAGGCCUUCGCUCAGCACCCACGGCUUCAGGGAGAAGCGUCUGUCCUCUCACCGUAUCCCUCAGGGCGGACAGGAUGGGCCACUCAAGAUGUUAUUGGAGGCUGGACCGUGAGGAAAUACCUCUGCAUUCUCUAGAAGCCAAAAACAACAAGCAAGCAGAAUUUCUGGUGAGGGAGAUUUCUCACAGAACUGUGGUGAAAAUUUAAUGAAAACAAGCUUUGGGGCCAGCCCUGUGGCCAGGUGGUUAAGUUCACAUGCUCCACUUCGGCGGCCCAGGGUUUCACUGGUUCGGAUCCUGGGCGCCGACACAGCACCGCUCAUCAGGUCAUGCUGAGGCGGCAUCCCACAUAGCACAGCAGAGGCACUCACAACUAGAAUAUACAACUGUACUGGGGGACUUCGGGGAGAAGAAGAAAAAAAAACAUUGGCAACAGUUGUUAGCUCAGGUGCCAAUCUUUAAAAAAAUUUAAAAAACAACCCAAUCUGUAUGUAUGUGUCACUGGUCUUCCAGGAAAUUUGCACAUGGAUCCUGAUAUUGUCACAUAUUGCCACAUCCCAUUUGUUUGCUACAAGAAAGGGAAGAUCAUUAAUGACAUGCUGAGCAUCAGCUGCAGAGAUGUUCUCACUCUUACAGAAGGGAGUUUGGCCAAUGGCCCCCAAGAAUAGGGCCAGAAAUAAGAAUUGGAGAAAAGGGAUUAGAUUCAAGCAUUAGUUUGUUGAUUCUACUCAGAACUUGGCAUUUACUAAGAUGUGGAAAGUGAAACCAACAGUUCCAGACCUCCUGUUGAACUAAACCCACCGCCCCACAGGAGGCUCUGACCAUCUGGCCCAACCCACCUCCAGCCACAUGCCCCCACUGCCCCCUCACAGGCUGUGCUCAGCGACUGAACCGCCACACCCCGACGCCGCUGUCCCCUUGGCCUGGAAGGCCCUCUGAUGCCUCUCCAUCAGACGAAGUCCUCUCCAUCCCCAGGCCCAGUCCCAGAGCCACCUGCUCUGUUAGGCCCUUGUGAAUGCUCCUGCCCACUUGCUGCAAAAACCAAUGACUCGCCCCUCUCCGGGCCGCCUAGGACUGCCUUCACGUGUGUAAUGCUCAUCAAAGCAUCAUCCACACCCAUCUUCCCAUUGCAUUUUGGAAGGAGCCUGGUCUAAUUCCUUUUGUUUCCCAAGCCACUAGCAUGGUGUGGGCACAAAAUAGGAAAUAGAUCAGUAUUUGUUGAAGAAAGACAGGGAGGGAGAGAAAGAAAUUCCAGUCAAGAGGCUGUUAGAGUCAUCCAGACAGAAGGUCUCAUAGGAGCCUAAACAUGGAAAGUGGUGCUGGGAACAGAAAUUCACGAUUAUGAAAAUAGAAGAGAUUAGAUUAGACUGGUGAUUAAAUGCAGGGAAUGAGAGAGAAAUGGGACUUAACGGGUGAUUCCAACCAAGUUUUCUGGCCCAAGAGACUGAGAGAACAUAAACAGAGGGUACUGACCCUGUGGGAGGCGGGCAGCAGGUGAAGUCCUGCUUCAGACUUCUCCCUCCACGCUCGGGCCGCCCCACGUGAGAGGUUAGCAGGUGGUUGUGUGUUCACAGUGAAGGAUCUGAUGAGAGGCCACGUGCAGCAUCCGGGAAGACUCAGGAGCCAAGGAAGGAGAGCAAUUCCGAGAGCGGGACGCCCCAGAGACAGGCUGUUGAGGCUAAGCCGGAGGAGGACUAUGGGGCCACAGCCAUCGCAGCCUCAGAAAGAGCAGCCCUACUGGGGCUGGAGGGUCCCUGGAGUCGUUGGGAGAGGGCGGAACCUCGAGUGUGACGGCGCUCAGAAACGUGAGUCGUAACAGGGACCAGGGGCCUCCACACCUUCUGUGGGUGAUUUCUGCUCCCGACCCAAAUUGUUUUUUAAUUGAAUGUUGAGUUAAUCAGGUUUCAUUAAAGUUUCCACUGCCUACAGCUACUAAGAUAAUUUUUGUUUUUUUAAUUUAAGAAGUUAAAAAUAGAAUCUCUGGAUAGGCCUGGAGUUGGGAUGGGAAAGUAGUUUGGUGACUCAUUUACACUCUCUUCUAAAGUGUACCAUCAAAUUCUAAAUAUGAAUCAACUCACUUUUGUUUUUUUCCAAAAAGAUGAACCCGAAAGACCUUAAAUAGUCCCUUCCACCAAAAGAAACAAAGGCUUGCAUUAAAUCCAGCUGGAAUUGUGUGCUCAGCUGAUCCAAGGCUGAGCCUGGAACGGGUCGGGUUUAACGUGAGUCCCCCCCCGGAAGCCUGGGUGGGCUCCUGUCCCCCGGUUGCCAGGUGGAAUCGUUCAGAGCAGCAGGAGGAGAGCUGAAAUGUCUGCCUUCCUCGCACUGAGUGCGUUUUACCCCCGUCCUCGAUUGAGCCCAAGACGACGAGUGGAUUUUUGACCAUGUUCAGCGAGCCUGGCGCCUCUCUCUACCCGGGGCCAUGCCCAUCUCAGCAGGUUGAUUCCGUUGAACUUAGAAUUGAAGACCUUUGUGUUGUAAUUCGGUUUUAACCAAUUAUGUUUUAAAUAUGUUUUCUGAACUGGCUUGGGGAAAUUCACUAAGAUCUAGUUAAAAAGCAAGCUUUUCAGAGAUCAAAGACAUUAACUAAAUAAUGCAUUCGGGUCAUGUCACCCUGUCAGUGGCUUCCUGGAAAUUCCACUUGAAGAAUUUCUACAAAGGACGCGCUUCCUUCCCAGGGGAAGAUGCAGGAAGCCGAGAUGAAAGAACCUGACAGGGCUAAGAAAACAGAGGGAAGGGACUUCUGCUUCUGCUAAGAACGGCCUGCUAGGCGAUUCCUGCUGAAGACCAACCUAAGGAAGCUGUUUCACAUGUCAUGCCGUUGUUUAGAUAUCUAUCCACGUAUUUUGUUUAGUGCUGACGUACUGUUAGUGCCUGCCUGCUGGAAUGUAAGCCACAGAAAGGCAGGUGGUUUUAUUUUGUCCCCUGACGCGCCCCAAGCACCUGGAACAGUCUGGCUCAUAGGAGCUGGCCCCCAGCUACUCGUUGACGAGUGAAUGAGUGAUCUGAACCGCAGCCCUGGGAGCAGCUCGCCUUCCUCCUGCGAGGAGCUCUCCUCCGCUUCCCGGCCUGCUCCUGUGCUCACAGGCUCAGAACCUCCCCGCCUCCUCCCACCCGCUGACUGCUGGGCCUCUCCCUCCUGGAGGAUGCAGCCCCACCUUCCACCGCCCCAUCCAGGAAGAAGGGAGCCCCCACGGGCCUCGUGUGGAAGUGACAGAAGGCGGCCGAGAGCCCACGUGGUCUUGGUGGCGGAGGGAGAGGAAAAACUGGACGUGAGUCCUAGGAACUAAUCCCGCUGAGACCACAGACUGAGGCAGACGCGGCUUCGCACGGCUGCUGUAGGACGGCGGCAGCGUGCUGGGCUCUGCACGAAUCCAGCCCGCUGGUGUGUGGAGGAUGAUGCUGUUCAGCCCAGGACAAAAGGCAGAGGUUGUGGUACAAAGCGCGUGUAUUCAACCUCUGCGGCUACUGUCCACUCCUCCCCGGCGCCUCACUGGACAGUGAUUGCGGCUCGGGUACCAUAAGUCAGAGAUGAGAAGAUAAGCCACGAAUGUAAGGUGUCGUGCUAUCCGUCCCUGUGUGACACUCGGGCGGCAGAGCCAUCCUGGCCAGAGCAGCGGUCUCAACAGGCUGGGAAGUCAGAGAAGAAGUGGCACUUUCGCUCCCGAGGAGGCCCUCUCCUCGCCGGGUGGCAUAAAGACCCGACAUCCUCUCUCAAGAGACCCUUUGCGGGGGGCAGUCUGACCGACAGCCUGAGCUGCUGGGGCUUCACAGCUGCCGCAGGGCUCGUGGCCGGGCCAGGCUCCUUCCGGCUUCUCCCAGGGAAAGAGGGAGCAGGUAGGGUCCCUCCAGGCAGGCCACCCUGCCCCAAGGGACUUCUCUGACCCCCUUGUCUGGGGACUCCUGGCCUGCCCGGAACUUUCUAGAGCAGCACGAUCUGAGUCUCUUCCUCUCCAGUCCUUCCUUCCGCUUCUGUUCACUCAGCUGUCAGAGCUGCUCUCGGGUCUGAAGCUCCCCUGCCAACUCCUGCUCUCCUCCUCAGCCCCUCGCAGGCGGGUGCCUCCAUGAGUCUCACACCUGACCCUGCCUUGGCAUAGCUCUUAGAGGGCUUGAACUAAGACACCUCCAACAGCCGGUAGAUCCUGCUAACUCACAAAGUCCUUGAUUGUCCCUAUUAAAGACAGAUACUGUGAGUGAAGAUGCCAUGUUCUAAAAGCCUUAUUGGGGAUGAUGCACCCCCGAGUGCAGGCAUCAAAUGCCAUCUCUGAUCAUGUAAUGGAGCCACUGAAGGAGGUUCUUGACUGGGGGUUCAUGGGUGACUUUAGGAGGUCGUGACCCCCUUACAUAUGUGUAUAUUAUGUUGAGUGCAUGAGCAAUUCUCCCUGAAGAUCUAUAGCUUUCAUCACAUUCAUCCACAAAAUUGUCAAUAGUGGUAACUAAUUAUAAGUUAACUCAUAGUUCAAAAGUCAUAUUAACAUGAAAUCUGUAUUAUGACACAUUUUAUGCAAUAAUAAUCAUGCUUCCAUUUUCUACCCCAAACUAAAUGAACUUUAGUCAUCUUUAGAGCCCCGCCAACCAGGCCUCCAGUCCAAAGAUGACCAGUCCUGCAUUCUUCAUCUGAUACUGAACUUGAAAACAAGUCAUGCUCUAAUUUAAGUUGUUACUGGCAUGAAAGAGAGAAGUAAUUGAAAAAUAAGUAGAUUGAUUUUUCGUAAUAGGGGAUUGGCUCUCAGUAGUAGACGCUUCAGCUGUCAGCCCAGACCGUGCUUCGAGUUAACCCACUGGAAGACAGUGGACAAGCACCCCUGGAGCUGUCCUCACAGAGAAAGCUUUACGUCAGCACCACUUGCACCAACUACACUCAGAACAUUUGUGUCAGCAGCAUAAAUGCUGGCAUGUCAGCAUCUCCAUUUUAUACCCCCCAAAUGUGUACGGUUUAAUUAGGCCAAAGACAGGGAAUGGCUGUUGUUAGCUCAACCUGGAAGUAAUGGCUUCCUGAGGGAGACAUUCCCGCCCACCUGGGAACCACCUAACAUUUGUGAGUGAAAAGCCAAACCUUCACUGCUUGUUCCCUGGAGGAAACUGUUCUCAGAAAAUAAUAACUUUACCCCUGAAUCUAGUGGAAUAUUUGUGGUGAGUUGGGAUAAAUAAUUUGGACAACCCCAAACAUCUGUGCUCUGCGACUACCACCUCCAGCCAGACAUUCUGCCUUCCUUCCUGCACACUUUUAUCUUGUUUCUGUGCUCGGUUUAGAUGUGAAAAAGAAAGCUUCUGCAGAGAGGACCAGCAGGUCAACAGCACAGCCCUACGGGCCUCUGUUAGGCUGGACAAGUGAGGCCCUCGAGGGGAGAGGGUUCCCCUGAAGAAAGGGCAGAUCCAGGCGGCAAAGGCUCAUGGACAGACUCAGAGCCCUCUGCCUCUGCCCGGAAUUGUUCUGAGUGUGCUUGGUCCUCACCUUGGCAGAAGAAUCCUGCUCAGCCCUCUCAAUCUCUCAGACCCUGGCAGCAUUGAAAGAUAACUUUAGGAAGAAGUUCAAGUUCACUCUUAGGAAACCAGAGGAGAUGUUGCUGGGGGCCUGGAGGAGGGCAACAGAUGCAUUGGCUGCCAUCUUUUCAGCGACCAAGAGGAGAACUAAAUCCAGAUCACAAAUUGCUUUACUGCUGUCACUGCAGAGCCGUUACGGAAUCUUUCUGAGGAAUUAUAAAGGGUGCACUAAAACCUCUGAAGAUGAAAGAAGGGAAAUGCUUUCCCUGUCUAAUAAAAAGAGAAAAGGAGUGUCGCAGGAUUACAGCCCACUGGACUUACCUGAGCACCAGAGCACUGAUCAAACAAGCCUUUAUAAUGCUGCGGACGGCACACAGCAUUUGGAGAGCAUCAUCCUAGCUAGCAUUAUGUCAGUUUUUUUCUGUUUUGAAGGAAUGACAUGAAGAAAUUGGUUUUGAUGCCAAUAAGCUUCCUGCAUCCAUUGCAUUGGACAAGCAACAUGGUGCCAUAGACCAUGUGUAAGAAGACAUGGAUCCAGCCUUGUCUCUUCCUGGACUCCCCAAGAACCUCUAAGUCACCCGUCCUUUGAUGUCCUGGAGUCUCCUCCAGGAAGAUCAGAUACUACUUCCUACUUGUCAGUAUCCCCUUGACGAAAGCCUUUGAGAAGCUUAGGACUGAGGUCCAAAAUCCCAAGGGUGCUCCUAUCGCUAAUGGACGCCGAAGGGUGGCUGCCUGGCUCACCGGAUCCCCACCUGCUGGAAUUAGUCCCUUUGAUGCAGAAAGUCUGGGAUAGAAAAUGGUCGUAUCUGGACCACAGGAUCCUGUGCCCUAUUCCCUUUGUCCAUAGCUGAUUAGUGCAGGCGUGGACGCUUCAUUCAAACCGGGCGGAUCAAAUUCUCUCCAGGAUACCAAAAGGAGAGACAGAGAGGCACACAGAGGUUGAGACGGGUCAAUCUAGAGAGUCCUAAGACACUAUUAAAGUGUGAAACAACAGAGUAGAAUAGAUCUUAGGGCACCGCUCCUGGCCCUGCCCGCAUGCAUCGGAGCGGCCUCCUCACAGUGCUCGGGACUAGCGGGGGCCUGCAGUGCUGGACAGGGACGCCCAGGUCCCAUUUCCUAUUUCUCCCCUUUGGGAUGCUCCGUUCUACAUCCCGCACCCCACUUAGGAUCAACUACAUGUCCCCAAAGAGUUCUGAGACUCAUGCCUGUGGGGUCACCCUGGGGCCCACGGCUGGCCUCCAGCUCCAGCAGGUGGCCUGGGGAGGGAAUUACUCUUGCUAGCUGGCACAGUGUUUCGUUCAUGGAACUGCGUGGACUAGGCUGCCAGGAUGGUGCUGACGCAUUCAUUUGGGAGCCCUGCACAGCCUAUUGGUCCCCGUUAGAGAGCAUUACUAGUGGUGAGAAUAAAGUUCACAUUAUGAGACUUUUGUUUCGUAUGUAUAUUUACAUAAUUUGUAUAGUUAUUUGUAUAAAUCUUAUAAUAAAUAGAAAUGUUUAUAUAGUGUAUGUUUAUAUAUAAAUUUGUAUCUACAUGUAUUGAUAUAUCAUAAAUUUCUUAUUGUAGGUCAUAGUAAAAAAUACUGCCCUUGGUGAACUACCACCUUCACCUAAAAAUAGAUUAAUAUCUGUAAAACCAGUGUUGGUAAAUGGAAGUACAACACAUGAUACAAUGUAAAGCUUAGCUCAGUCAAUGCAAGUUAGAAAAGGUAGACACAGAGGAGAAACACCUAUAACAAGAUGUCUGUUUAUAAUUCCAUUCACG
This 23638-nucleotide long non-coding RNA is filed under the name Equus caballus (horse). RNAcentral describes it as "lncRNA (ENSECAG00000044506.1)". The stretch from base 12779 to 12848 matches the Rfam family "mir-30 microRNA precursor family". The record is from RNAcentral. Lineage: Eukaryota; Metazoa; Chordata; Mammalia; Perissodactyla; Equidae.